Molecule: ribosomal RNA, 433 nt
Filed under: uncultured bacterium
Lineage: Bacteria
Description: partial 16S ribosomal RNA
Rfam family: Bacterial small subunit ribosomal RNA
Source: RNAcentral
AACGAACGCUGGCGGCAUGCCUAACACAUGCAAGUCGAACGAGACCUUCGGGUCUAGUGGCGCACGGGUGCGUAACGCGUGGGAACCUGCCCUUAGGUUCGGAAUAACUCCCCGAAAGGGGUGCUAAUACCGGAUAAUGUCUUCGGACCAAAGAUUUAUCGCCUUUGGAUGGGCCCGCGUUGGAUUAGCUAGUUGGUAGGGUAAAAGCCUACCACGGCGACGAUCCAUAGCUGGUCUGAGAGGAUGAGCAGCCACACUGGGACUGAGACACGGCCCAGACUCCUACGGGAGGCAGCAGUGGGGAAUAUUGGACAAUGGGCGAAAGCCUGAUCCAGCAAUGCCGCGUGAGUGAUGAAGGCCUUAGGGUUGUAAAGCUCUUUUACCCGGGAUGAUAAUGACAGUACCGGGAGAAUAAGCUCCGGCUAACUCCGUG